AAAUAAGGAACAAAUGUUGGAAACAACAUUCCAACUCUCCCAGAAUCUGAAGUGACACAUUAUGAAACUGGUGGAAGACAAGACAUUUCUUGGAAUUGAGCUGGACACCCAAAAUCACCCCAUUUCUUAGGCAGCCAAAAGUCUCCUGCAGCCCUGCUGAAUCAUUUCAUCCCGUAUAUCCUGCUUCACUCUGGAUCUAGCUGGUGCGUGACAGGAGAUGGAGAAGAGGGAGGACACAUGAAAGUCCCCAUCUUAUUCAGCCAGGAAGCAAGUGAAGCCAAAUGAACAGCCAUAGGAGACAGGAGGUCCUGGUUCUUCUCCCAUGGAGUAUAGCAAUCUAAGGAUGUUUGAGGGUCAUCAUUAGCCCCAUUACCUUCUCUGCUGCUUGGAGGUCAUUUCUGCCUUUUGUUCUUGAUCCUGGCAGGGAUGCUGUGCCAUUUGUUCUCAG
RNAcentral lists this non-coding RNA (448 nucleotides) under Pongo abelii (Sumatran orangutan). The record is from RNAcentral. Lineage: Eukaryota; Metazoa; Chordata; Mammalia; Primates; Hominidae.